RNAcentral lists this unclassified non-coding RNA (374 nucleotides) under Hevea brasiliensis (rubber tree). The record is from RNAcentral. Lineage: Eukaryota; Viridiplantae; Streptophyta; Magnoliopsida; Malpighiales; Euphorbiaceae.
CAUCAUCGGAAUUUUGGCCAUUUUAGAUCGUUGUCGUGGAGCGUGUCGCGGUCGUGGUCCGCCGCCAGGCAGCUCCAGGCCAUUGGGAAUAAUUUAGCGGCGCCCAAAGCCAGUGAAAUUGUCGCUACUAAUGGAAUUGCGGUGGCUGUUUAUACCAUGAACACAAUUUUGCUGUUUGUAAUGUGGGCUCUGGUGGCAGCGAUACCUUGUCAAGACAGGGGGUUGCAAGUGCAUUUCUCGAUUCCUAGACAAUUUCCCUGGGCUGCGGCGAUACUUUCGUUGCACGACAGGGUUCUCGAGGAGUCAAGAAGGCGGGAUAGGAGGAAUGCUUCCGGGUUGUUAAGAGAGAUUUAUCAGAUGGACAAGUGUACUAA